RNAcentral lists this ribosomal RNA (400 nucleotides) under uncultured bacterium. RNAcentral describes it as "bacterial SSU rRNA". It matches the Rfam family "Bacterial small subunit ribosomal RNA", at positions 917 to 1344 of the family's 1533-position model. The record is from RNAcentral.
GGGCCCGCACAAGCGGUGGAGCAUGUGGUUUAAUUCGAUGAUACGCGAGGAACCUUACCAGGGCUUAAAUGUAAGUUGCAUGAAUCAGAGAUGAUUCUUUCUUCGGACUACUUACAAGGUGCUGCAUGGUUGUCGUCAGCUCGUGCCGUGAGGUGUCAGGUUAAGUCCUAUAACGAGCGCAACCCCUGUCGUUAGUUGCCAGCAGUUCGGCUGGGCACUCUAGGGAAACUGCCCGUGAUAAGCGGGAGGAAGGUGUGGAUGACGUCAAGUCCUCAUGGCCCUUACGGGUUGGGCUACACACGUGCUACAAUGGCAGUGACAAUGGGUUAAUCCCAAAAACUGUCUCAGUUCGGAUUGGGGUCUGCAACUCGACCCAUGAAGUCGGAAUCGCUAGUAAUCG